This 72-nucleotide transfer RNA is filed under the name Cellulomonas iranensis. Its description in RNAcentral is "tRNA-Arg". It matches the Rfam family "tRNA". From Rfam's summary of the family: Transfer RNA (tRNA) molecules are approximately 80 nucleotides in length. Their secondary structure includes four short double-helical elements and three loops (D, anti-codon, and T loops). Further hydrogen bonds mediate the characteristic L-shaped molecular structure. tRNAs have two regions of fundamental functional importance: the anti-codon, which is responsible for specific mRNA codon recognition, and the 3' end, to which the tRNAs corresponding amino acid is attached (by aminoacyl-tRNA synthetases). tRNAs cope with the degeneracy of the genetic code in two manners: having more than one tRNA (with a specific anti-codon) for a particular amino acid; and 'wobble' base-pairing, i.e. permitting non-standard base-pairing at the 3rd anti-codon position. RNAcentral also lists the same sequence under 1 other name. The record is from RNAcentral. Lineage: Bacteria; Bacillati; Actinomycetota; Actinomycetes; Micrococcales; Cellulomonadaceae.
CAUGGAGUGGAUCAAUGGCAGAUCGCCCGGCUCCGGACCGGGAGGGUGCAGGUUCGAAUCCUGCCUCCAUGU